AUACCGUGGUGUGGGCAUUGUCUCCUCAACUCCUUGAAUCUCUCUCAAGACUCUGCUAAAGACUCACCAGCCAACUAUUUGAAAUUCUGAAUUCCCCGCCUCAUUUU
Molecule: small nucleolar RNA, 107 nt
Filed under: Ipomoea nil (Japanese morning glory)
Lineage: Eukaryota; Viridiplantae; Streptophyta; Magnoliopsida; Solanales; Convolvulaceae
Description: Plant small nucleolar RNA R71
Rfam family: Plant small nucleolar RNA R71
About the family: R71 is a member of the C/D box family of snoRNAs containing the C (UGAUGA) and D (CUGA) box motifs.
Source: Rfam by way of RNAcentral